UACGGAGGUGGCAAGCGUUGUUCGGAAUUACUGGGCGUAAAGCGCACGUAGGCGGAUUUGUAAGUCAGGGGUGAAAUCCCGGGGCUCAACCUCGGAACUGCCUUUGAUACUGCAAAUCUCGAGUCCGGAAGAGGUGAGUGGAAUUCCUAGUGUAGAGGUGAAAUUCGUAGAUAUUAGGAAGAACACCAGUGGCGAAGGCGGCUCACUGGUCCGGUACUGACGCUGAGGUGCGAAAGCGUGGGGAGCAAACAGG
Molecule: ribosomal RNA, 253 nt
Filed under: uncultured bacterium
Lineage: Bacteria
Description: partial 16S ribosomal RNA
Rfam family: Bacterial small subunit ribosomal RNA
Source: RNAcentral